RNAcentral lists this ribosomal RNA (253 nucleotides) under uncultured bacterium. RNAcentral describes it as "partial 16S ribosomal RNA". It matches the Rfam family "Bacterial small subunit ribosomal RNA", at positions 524 to 776 of the family's 1533-position model. The record is from RNAcentral.
UACGUAGGGUGCAAGCGUUAAUCGGAAUUACUGGGCGUAAAGCGUGCGCAGGCGGUUAUGUAAGACAGGGGUGAAAUCCCCGGGCUUAACCUGGGAACUGCAUUUGUGACUGCAUAGCUAGAGUACGGUAGAGGGGGAUGGAAUUCCGCGUGUAGCAGUGAAAUGCGUAGAUAUGCGGAGGAGCACCGAUGGCGAAGGCAAUCCCCUGGACCUGUACUGACGCCCAUGCACGAAAGCGUGGGGAGCAAACAGG